RNAcentral lists this unclassified non-coding RNA (387 nucleotides) under fungal sp. Its description in RNAcentral is "partial internal transcribed spacer region". The stretch from base 1 to 46 matches the Rfam family "Eukaryotic small subunit ribosomal RNA", at positions 1786 to 1831 of the family's 1831-position model. The record is from RNAcentral. Lineage: Eukaryota; Fungi.
AAGUCGUAACAAGGUUUCCGUAGGUGAACCUGCGGAAGGAUCAUUAACACGUUAUCCACGUACCUACCUCUUGCGAACUUUUUACUGUUUAAGAGUCGGCAGACCAGCGUAGAUGAUGGAGGUAGAUGUUACUAUGUCCAGCGUGAGGCCCGCCGCCCGCCCUGGUUCUACCUGCCUAACUGACUUCCCUCCCCCCCUCAUGUGCUGUGUGUAUUGGGGGGUGUGUGGGCGUGGUUGGAUAUUCUGGUUCAAAUGACUCGAAUCAUAGUAGUUUUUUGUAUUAACCCCUUUUUACAAAUUUGUUGAAUUGUGAUGGUCUGAAGGUAACACUUCAUACUCACGUUAAUAAAACACUAUACAACUCUUAGCAACGGAUAUCUCGGUUCU